GCUUGGCGGGGGGCUAUACAUGCAGUCGAGCGGACAGAUGGGAGCUUGCUCCCUGAUGUUAGCGGCGGACGGGUGAGUAACACGUGGGUAACCUGCCUGUAAGACUGGGAUAACUCCGGGAAACCGGGGCUAAUACCGGAUGCUUGUUUGAACCGCAUGGUUCAGACAUAAAAGGUGGCUUCGGCUACCACUUACAGAUGGACCCGCGGCGCAUUAGCUAGUUGGUGAGGUAACGGCUCACCAAGGCAACGAUGCGUAGCCGACCUGAGAGGGUGAUCGGCCACACUGGGACUGAGACACGGCCCAGACUCCUACGGGAGGCAGCAGUAGGGAAUCUUCCGCAAUGGACGAAAGUCUGACGGAGCAACGCCGCGUGAGUGAUGAAG
Molecule: ribosomal RNA, 386 nt
Filed under: uncultured Bacillus sp.
Lineage: Bacteria; Bacillati; Bacillota; Bacilli; Caryophanales; Bacillaceae
Description: bacterial SSU rRNA
Rfam family: Bacterial small subunit ribosomal RNA
Source: RNAcentral